CUCUUAUUGAGAGCGGUGGAGGGAAAGGCCCUGUGAAACCCGGCAACCUUCAAACGAAAUGUUUGAAACGGUGCUAAUACCUGCAAAACAAUUUGUUUUGCAUGAUAAGAG
This is a non-coding RNA of Bacillus cereus Rock3-44, 111 nucleotides long. Lineage: Bacteria; Bacillati; Bacillota; Bacilli; Caryophanales; Bacillaceae. The record is from Rfam.